RNAcentral lists this long non-coding RNA (2034 nucleotides) under Struthio camelus australis. RNAcentral describes it as "lncRNA (ENSSCUG00000013419.1)". The record is from RNAcentral. Lineage: Eukaryota; Metazoa; Chordata; Aves; Struthioniformes; Struthionidae.
UACGCAGAGUCCAAAAGUCCCCAUGAAAAGUGAGGUGUUGCCUUGACCCCCAGGUCCAUGGGGCAACCAACUGUAGACCCAAAGGUGUGGCAAACUGUCUCUGUGGGUGUGGGUGUAGCACACACUGACAUUGACUUACACCGUACUUCAGAGACGAGUCUUGCUGGACAACUCAUCCCAUGGCAGCAGCAUGAGAGGCCUGGUCCAUGUCCCUGUGCUGAACUGAGACAUCGUCCUCGCUCCAGAGAGCUCACAACUACAGCUCUUGAGCAUUUCUGAGACCCUCAUCUACUCUCCAACCAGUCAGUAGCACAAGACUGCGGACUGGCUGGUCAUCAGGACAGCCUGCCUGUGUUCUGCCUCAUGCAUACAGAUAAUGCUGACUUCUACUAUGUAGUCUUGACACACAAUGACUCAAGGCUUAUUUGCUUGUCUCCACUGAGUGACAACCCAACAGAAAUCCCCUGGAGACUUCAACAAGCUGCACACUCUUGGUGCUCAGAUCUGAGAAUGCUGUGUGGUCUUCCACGUGAAACAGGGAGAGAAGGAAUCCCUUACAGAGGAUGUGUACUCCCUUCCUCAUCCACAUCAGUUCCACUUACUUGGACAGCGUACAGAGUGAGCAGAGCCACGGCAUUAGCUACUUUUUUCAUCCCUCCCAGUGGUGCUUAGAAAUUUACUUUCCUUUCAUACCAAGACUAUCAGCUCUGGUGGCUACCCAGAGGCUCCUGGGACAAGAAGGACCUUACAGUUCCCUGCGGAUCCGUGUGGCUUCGUAGGGACUAAAUGUGGGCAUCCUGUGACCAAAAGUGCUCAUCUAUAAAGUAGAUAUACACGUUUGAGCAAAUCAUCUUGGAUUCCUUGCUAGUAAGUGGAAAAAAAGCCAAAGGGUCAGUAGAGACAAGGGCACGACUCAUUUCCUCCAAAUCAGAAAGAAGGUUAGAUAUUUUCAUAAACCCCACUGACUGCACUGACUAGAUCUCCUCAGACUGUGGUGGGAUCCUAGACACUGGCUCAGAGGUAGACACCUGCAUUGCAGACAUCUAAACUUAGACGAGAUGCAAUCAUUCAGCCUGUAACACAUCCAAAGGUAUGUCAUUUUGAUAGUUCUGCGUUGUAUUGUUGUGUUUGUUGUGAUCCAGAGCUCCAAGGCCCACCAUCAAAAACAGUCAUACAGGCACAUCCUAAUUAGGAGAUUUUAGAGUUUUACUGAUGUAAAACCUUGGAAGUCCCAGUCACUUCUCUGGUAAGCAUCACUGGAACUAACCAGAACUGUGACAUUUACCAAUAAGAAUAUCAGAAUUCCUAUCAUCGAAAUGGUUUCUAUUUUUUUCCAAUGGCUCCAUUUUGGAUUUUUUUUUUUUUCCAGAACUUCACUGUGAUGGGCAUCUUGUAUCAGAGUGCACCCAGUAGGUCUUGGAGUAUCCUCCUUUGAUGUGGCAUGAAAUAGAGGCAUGCCUCUGUGCUGGUGAUUGAAUAGACAUUCCUGAAAUAAGAUAUAUUCCUGAUAUAAGAGCCCACGUCUCUAGACCCUCACUUGAUUCAUGGGGUCAAAUUUUAUCAGACCCUAGGGAUGGGACUCAGGAUAGGUCAGCUGAAUGCCCCUCUGAAGUGUUCAUUUCUCUCUGCUGGCUCUAAAAGGAUUCUAUAUAACUAGCCCAGACUUGGACAUUUGCCUUUUACAAAUGUGAAAUUAGACUAAAGGUAUCCCACCCCUUUGCUGAGUGCCUACAUAAUCCAAAGGUUCUUGCAGGCAUCUAAUUUACUGUACAAGCACUGGCCGGUAGAUCUAUGUAGACGCGGUAAGACAAUAUGUCCCCACAUUUGUGCAUGUGUCCAGACCACUAUAGAACAGUUCAAACAAAAGGUGCAAAUGAACUGUGGAAAAAUAAUCCAGCUUGCAGACAGCAUCUUCGAGAAACUUUGUCGCUGUACCUUAACAGUUAAAGCUUCUUCAUAAAUAUUUUUCUUCUUCAAAUUGCUGUUCUUGGUGGCAGAAAUAAAGAAACACUGGCACCAGAUGACUAGCUAAUA